UACGGAGGGGGCAAGCGUUAUCCGGAUUUAUUGGGUUUAAAGGGUGCGUAGGCGGUCCGUUAAGUCAGCGGUAAAAUUGCGGGGCUCAACCCCGUCGUGCCGUUGAAACUGGCGUUCUUGAGUGAGCGAGAAGUAUGCGGAAUGCGUGGUGUAGCGGUGAAAUGCAUAGAUAUCACGCAGAACUCCGAUUGCGAAGGCAGCUUACUAAGCCAUAACUGACACUGAAGCACGAAAGCGUGGGGAUCAAACAGG
This 252-nucleotide ribosomal RNA is filed under the name uncultured Bacteroidales bacterium. Its description in RNAcentral is "partial 16S ribosomal RNA". It matches the Rfam family "Bacterial small subunit ribosomal RNA", at positions 524 to 776 of the family's 1533-position model. Lineage: Bacteria; Pseudomonadati; Bacteroidota; Bacteroidia; Bacteroidales. The record is from RNAcentral.